UACGAAGGGGGCUAGCGUUGCCCGGAAUCACUGGGCGUAAAGGGUGCGUAGGCGGCUCUUUAAGUCAGGGGUGAAAUCCUGGAGCUCAACUCCAGGACUGCCUUUGAUACUGAGGAUCUUGAGUUCGGGAGAGGUGAGUGGAACUGCGAGUGUAGAGGUGAAAUUCGUAGAUAUUCGCAAGAACACCAGUGGCGAAGGCGGCUCGCUGGCCCGAUACUGACGCUGAGGCACGAAAGCGUGGGGAGCAAACAGG
RNAcentral lists this ribosomal RNA (253 nucleotides) under uncultured bacterium. RNAcentral describes it as "partial 16S ribosomal RNA". It matches the Rfam family "Bacterial small subunit ribosomal RNA", at positions 524 to 776 of the family's 1533-position model. The record is from RNAcentral.